Molecule: non-coding RNA, 286 nt
Organism: Paramuricea clavata
Lineage: Eukaryota; Metazoa; Cnidaria; Anthozoa; Malacalcyonacea; Plexauridae
Source: the annotation of a GenBank genome assembly
ACCCUGCUAUUGGCUGGUCACGUGUCUCCCAGAAUCUGGGAGAUAACAAACAAUUUCAAUUAGGGUGGGUACCUAAGUACGUUUUGUCAUUGAGCAAGGAGUGAGCGAAGAAAUAACCCAGAAAUCAUGCAGGAAAUAUUUACAAAAUUGUAUAUUUUAUUUGUCAUGAAGACUAUCAAUGUUACACAACAGUAAAUAUCAAAUUUCAUUGUGCGCAGAAUGUCGGUGAGCAAAGAUAGAUCAGAUUUCAAUAGACAAAUUAUGCUGAUACAGCUCGUCGAAGAAA